ACGGGAGGCAGCAGUGGGGAAUAUUGCACAAUGGGCGCAAGCCUGAUGCAGCGAUGCCGCGUGAGGGAAGAAGGUUUUCGGAUUGUAAACCUCUGUCAACAGGGACGAAAAUGACGGUACCUGUGAAGGAAGCUCCGGCUAACUACGUGCCAGCAGCCGCGGUAAUACGUAGGGAGCAAGCGUUAUCCGGAUUUAUUGGGUUUAGAGGGUGCGUAGGCGGAUGAUUAAGUCAGUGGUGAAAGGUCCCGGCUCAACCGGGGAGCUGCCAUUGAUACUGGUUGUCUUGAAUGCGGAUGCCGUGGGAGGAAUGUGUGGUGUAGCGGUGAAAUGCAUAGAUAUCACACAGAACACCGAUUGCGAAGGCAUCUCACGAAUCCGUUAUUGACGCUGAGGCACGAAAGCGUGGGGAUCAAACAGGAUUAGAUACCCUGGUA
RNAcentral lists this ribosomal RNA (434 nucleotides) under uncultured Lachnospiraceae bacterium. Its description in RNAcentral is "partial 16S ribosomal RNA". It matches the Rfam family "Bacterial small subunit ribosomal RNA", at positions 341 to 792 of the family's 1533-position model. The record is from RNAcentral. Lineage: Bacteria; Bacillati; Bacillota; Clostridia; Lachnospirales; Lachnospiraceae.